GACGAACGCUGGCGGCGUGCCUAAUACAUGCAAGUAGAACGCUGAAGAGAGGAGCUUGCUCUUCUUGGAUGAGUUGCGAACGGGUGAGUAACGCGUAGGUAACCUGCCUUGUAGCGGGGGAUAACUAUUGGAAACGAUAGCUAAUACCGCAUAACAAUAGGUGACACAUGUCAUUUAUUUGAAAGGGGCAAUUGCUCCACUACAAGAUGGACCUGCGUUGUAUUAGCUAGUAGGUGAGGUAACGGCUCACCUAGGCGACGAUACAUAGCCGACCUGAGAGGGUGAUCGGCCACACUGGGACUGAGACACGGCUCAGACUCCUACGGGAGGCAGCAGUAGGGAAUCUUCGGCAAUGGGGGCGACCCUGACCGAGCAACGCCGCGUGAGUGAAGAAGGUUUUCGGAUCGUAAAGCUCUGUUGUAAGUCAAGAACGAGUGUGAGAGUGGAAAGUUCACACUGUGACGGUAGCUUACCAGAAAGGGACGGCUAACUACGUG
This 497-nucleotide ribosomal RNA is filed under the name uncultured bacterium. RNAcentral's name for it is "partial 16S ribosomal RNA". It matches the Rfam family "Bacterial small subunit ribosomal RNA", at positions 28 to 507 of the family's 1533-position model. The record is from RNAcentral.